RNA transcript from Melanaphis sacchari, 2314 nucleotides. RefSeq lists it as uncharacterized. Lineage: Eukaryota; Metazoa; Arthropoda; Insecta; Hemiptera; Aphididae. The record is from RefSeq and is a predicted model, not a curated record. The transcript has 12 exons.
AUGAAAUCAUAUUUUAUGGGUAGUAUGUUUAUUGGUGAAUCUUAUAGCUAAUUAUGUAUUAUUAGACUAAAGAAAUUUAAUAUAAAAGUUGUUGAUUCUGUGAAAAUAAUAAUUACAAGAUGCCGUUAAUUCAAGUAGAUGUAAAAAUGUUACCAAUGAAAGUGCACUACUUUCUGUUUAUGGGAGGUGUUGCACCAAUGACUUCUUUUUUACCAACAAUUGCAAAACAACUGGGAUACUCUACAGUUGUAGUUGGUACUAUCUUUAGUAUUUUACCAAUUUUAAGUUUAAUAAUAAAGCCUAUAAUUGGUGCAAUUGUGGAUCAAUUUCGGGUUAAAAAAUUAAUUUUUUUAACAUUCAUAUUGUUAUCCGGCUUAACAGCAUUUUCACUUAUGUUUGUUCCUGAAAUACCUUUGAAUACUACAGUGGAACUUAAUUGUCAUGAUGCCACAUAUUUAAAUGUUUGUCUUGAUGAUGAUGUACCUUUGUCAAAAUGUAACAUAAAUCGAGUUAAGGAAAAUAUUGGUGGUACAUUUGGAUGUGAGUUAAAAUGUAAUAGCAGUGUACAUUUCCGUAAAGAAAUGUGUUCAAAUUGGGGAUUUAAGGAGUAUUGCUCAUUAUCAAAGUUGCCCAAUGUAAACACCAUAAAUUAUUAUGAACCAAACAGUUCACAAAUAGUUAAAACAAAAUCAAUUAAGAAUUAUUAUAAUGAUGAUUAUGCUUACUUAUUUGUGUUGCUAGAUAUAAUACAUACUGUUGAUGUUAAUAAUUGUUUCUAUUUUAAAAUAAAAUCUGCAAAGUUCUAUUUUAAUGAAUCUCAAGGAGUUAACCACACACCUGUUUGUGAUACUAGUUUAAGAUCACAAUGCAAAGUACAAUGUUCUAAUGAAGUCAUUAUGGAUUUAAUAACUCCCCAAAAGUUUAAAGGCAGUGUCUUGGAGUUAAAUCAAUUUUGGAUAUUUUUCCUGUUGGUUAGUCUGUUUUGGGUAGGUCAAGCAAUUAUUUAUAGUCUUGGCGAUUCUAUUUGCUUUGAUCAACUAGGUAACAAGCCUAAUCUUUAUGGCAAACAAAGAUGCUGGGGAGCUAUUGGAUGGGGAAUUUUUUCAAUACUUGCUGGAUGGCUCCUGGAUCUUUUUAGCUCCAGUGAUGUUUAUAAAAAUUAUUUACCAAUAUACUUUUUAUGUUUACUGGUACUACUUUGCAACUUUUUUGUUGCAUCAAAACUUAAGGUGACAGAAACAAAAAUAUCAACUAAUAUAUUUAAAGACUUAGGAAAACUGCUAAUGGAAGUCAAGGUACUAGGAUUUCUUACUUGGGCAAUAGUAGUAGGUAUUUGCACUGGAAUGAUUUGGCAAUAUCUUUUUUGGUACAUUGAAGAUGUAGCUUCCAUGAAUAAGUGUAAUACUCAACAUUGGAUUAAAACGCUACAAGGUUUAAUUUCAGGAGUUCAAUGUUUUGGUGGUGAAGUGCCAUUCUUUUUCUGGUCAGGCUGGAUUAUGAAACGUUUAGGACACUUAAAUUGCAUGUCUCUUAUUUUAGGAGUUUUUGCGUUUAGAUUUUUUGCUUAUUCAAUUCUUACAAAUCCAAUUUGGGUACUCGUUAUUGAGUUAACUAAUGGAAUUACUUUUGGGUUAGCAUAUGCAGUACUUAUGUCAUAUGCAAGUAUACUUGCACUACCUGGUAGCGAAAGUACUAUGAUAGGUCUUGUUGGUGGAGUUUUUGAAGGUAUAGGUGUGUCUUUGGGUAGUUUAAUAGGCGGCUGCUUGUAUGAUAAUUAUGGUGGAGCUCAAACAUUCAGAUUAUUUGCAUAUGGUUCUGCAUUAAUGUGUGUAAUUCAUUUAUUAUGUCAAAAAAUUCUGAAAUCAAAUAAAAAAUUAAGUUUUUCAACACAUUAUUAGAUCACAAUUUUGAAGAAGUACAAAACAACACAUCCCAUUUUAAAGAAACAGGUUUUGUUAGUGGAUCAACUGAAUAUGCCAGUCCAAAUGAAGCUAUUCAUAUGUUGAUUGACAAUUAAAUUAAUUUUUUCAAUGUUCCUACUUUAUUGUUCCAUCUUAUUUUUAUUUAAAAAAAUUAAAGAAGGAAAUACUUAAUUUGCAGUCACUUAUUUCUAGUAUAAUAUUAUAUUUUGUUUUUUGACAAUUAUUAAUGGAAUAGGUAAAUAUUCUGAUUAUUGAAUUUUUAAUAUACAAUAAAAAUGGCCAGUGGUAUGAAUUGAGCAAUUAGCAUAGGUUAGAUUAGGAAUUAUUUAAAAUACUUUUAAAAAAAAUGUAUGUAAUUUUAAACUUUUUUGUAAUAUUUUUAUAUUAUUUUC